GACGAACGCUGGCGGCGUGCUUAACACAUGCAAGUCGAGCGAUGAAACUCCUUCGGGAGUGGAUUAGCGGCGGACGGGUGAGUAACACGUGGGUAACCUGCCUCAUAGAGGGGAAUAGCCUUCCGAAAGGAAGAUUAAUACCGCAUAAGGUUGUAGUUUCGCAUGAAACAGCAAUUAAAGGAGCAAUCCGCUAUGAGAUGGACCCGCGUCGCAUUAGCUAGUUGGUGAGGUAACGGCUCACCAAGGCGACGAUGCGUAGCCGACCUGAGAGGGUGAUCGGCCACAUUGGGACUGAGACACGGCCCAGACUCCUACGGGAGGCAGCAGUGGGGAAUAUUGCACAAUGGGGGAAACCCUGAUGCAGCAACGCCGCGUGAGUGAUGAAGGUCUUCGGAUUGUAAAGCUCUGUCUUUGGGGACGAUAAUGACGGUACCCAAGGAGGAAGCCACGGCUAACUACGUG
This 462-nucleotide ribosomal RNA is filed under the name uncultured bacterium. RNAcentral's name for it is "bacterial SSU rRNA". It matches the Rfam family "Bacterial small subunit ribosomal RNA", at positions 28 to 507 of the family's 1533-position model. The record is from RNAcentral.